GAUGAACGCUGGCGGCGUGCCUAAUACAUGCAAGUCGAGCGAACGGACGAGAAGCUUGCUUCUCUGAUGAUAGCGGCGGACGGGUGGGUAACACGUGGAUAACCUACCUAUAAGACUGGGAUAACUUCGGGAAACCGUAGCUAAUACCGGAUAAUAUUUUGAACCGCAUGGUUCAAAAGUGAAAGACGGUCUUGCUGUCACUUAUAGAUGGAUCCGCGCUGCAUUAGCUAGUUGGUAAGGUAACGGCUUACCAAGGCAACGAUGCAUAGCCGACCUGAGAGGGUGAUCGGCCACACUGGAACUGAGACACGGUCCAGACUCCUACGGGAGGCAGCAGUAGGGAAUCUUCCGCAAUGGGCGAAAGCCUGACGGAGCAACGACGCGUGAGUGAUGAAGGUCUUCGGAUCGUAAAACUCUGUUAUUAGGGAAGAACAUAUGUGUAAGUAACUGUGCACAUCUUGACGGUACCUAAUCAGAAAGCCACGGCUAACUACGUG
RNAcentral lists this ribosomal RNA (497 nucleotides) under uncultured bacterium. RNAcentral describes it as "partial 16S ribosomal RNA". It matches the Rfam family "Bacterial small subunit ribosomal RNA", at positions 28 to 507 of the family's 1533-position model. The record is from RNAcentral.